This is a microRNA precursor of Nicotiana attenuata, 98 nucleotides long. It matches the Rfam family "MIR6152 microRNA precursor family". Lineage: Eukaryota; Viridiplantae; Streptophyta; Magnoliopsida; Solanales; Solanaceae. The record is from Rfam.
UAGACAGAUUAUUGUAUUCAACUGUAUUCACGGCGCAAUUCAUGGUCUAUUCAGUUGUUUUUAAACGGAAAGUGAAUCAAUUAACAUAAUAGACUCCU